This 60-nucleotide transfer RNA is filed under the name Undinula vulgaris. Its description in RNAcentral is "tRNA-Tyr". Lineage: Eukaryota; Metazoa; Arthropoda; Copepoda; Calanoida; Calanidae. The record is from RNAcentral.
GAUAGUGUGUCUGAAAAAGAGUUAAACUGUAAAUUUAAUCAUAGGUCUUCCUCUCUAUCA